Long non-coding RNA from Lingula anatina, 355 nucleotides. The record is from RefSeq and is a predicted model, not a curated record. NCBI's taxonomy places the organism in Eukaryota, Metazoa, Brachiopoda, Lingulata, Lingulida, Lingulidae.
GUAGAAUUGCUAUAAAAGAGUACUGUAUCUAACAUCAAUCAAUCAAUGAUGGGAUUGUUGUUCUGCCCGAGCCUUGUACUGGCCUUGAUGGCGAGCGUCUUUCUCAGUCAAAAUCAGCUGAGUCAAACUUACGAAUGCGAGCCUGACAGUUGCUAUAAUAAUGGGACGUGCGAAGAAAAAGUUGAUGAUCCGUCUGGCUUCCAGUGCAGUUGUCCCAGUGACUUUUUCGGAGAAAGAUGCGACUUGACUGAGUGCCGGUUAAAUAAAUGCUGGAAUGGUGCAACGUGUGCAUUGAAUACUACAAAUUUGGUUUCGUCGUGCAUUUGUCCCGAGGGUUAUUACGGAACAUGGUGCA